CCCGUAGGCCCUAACCACGCGACGACGGCAUCUUUUUAUUUCUCAGCGCCUCCGGUGUCGUCUCCUUCACUUCUCCUUCCUCCCUGCGCCUGAAUACAGCAAAUUUCCGGCCAUCUCCGGCACCUAAAAUAAUCUCAGGUGCGAGAAUCGUGGUUUUCGUUCUACUUCACGUUGUCUUGCUGGUAUUUCGAUGACAAAGUUGGGUCAAUCGCUAAAAUGGAGAUGAGCUGCCAGUCAAAUGGCAAUUCUAGUGGUAUUCAGCAGCUCUGUAACUCUGUGGGGACCUCAUACCAGGGCAAGAGUUACUCGGGGUAUAUGCCUCCUCCUUCAUUUGUGAGUGGAUGGAUGUAUGUUAAUGAACAAGGUCAAAUGUGCGGUCCGUAUAUUCAGCAGCAGCUGUAUGAAGGUUUAAAUACCGGCUUUUUGCCGGACGUGCUUCCAGUAUAUCCUGUGGUAAAUGGGGCAUUAAUAAACCCAGUACCGUUGAAGUAUUUCAAGCACUUCCCUGAUCAUGUCGCCACUGGGUUUGCAUAUCUGAGUCUGGGCAGCGUCUCGAGCUCAAGCACGCCUACUGAUUCUCUUAAAUCAUGCCAUGGGGAUUUGGCUACAUCUAGUAUACCUACACCGGUUCCUACUAGUUAUCUGAACUCCACUGCACAGGCCAACUGCAACACUGAUUUUUCUAAUAAGUCGACUUUGAACACCGAAGCACCUAACCAAGUUACUUCAUAUCAGUCACUGUCAAGUAAAGAGUCUUGCUGGUUGUAUGACGACAAGGAAGGGAAGAGAAAUGGGCCAUAUUCUCUUUUCGAAUUAACUUCUUGGCAUCGAUAUGGAUAUCUUCGGGAUUCACUGAUGAUUUAUCAUGUCAAGAACAAGUGUGAACCCUUCACACUGUCAUCUGUUGUUAGUUCAUCGAAACUUGAUGGACUUGAAACCAUCACUACAUUUGAUACUGAAGGUAAUCAGUCUGGCUCGUCCGUAAGCAUUAUAUCUGAAGUUGCGGAGGGAGUUUCUUCCCAACUGCACUAUGGAAUUUUGAAGUCAGCACGUAGAGUGGUGUUAGAUGAGAUAAUCAGCAAUGUGAUUGCUGAGUUUGUUAUCACAAAGAAAGCUCAGAAACUUAACCAGAAUAUGAAGACGUGCUCCUUGGAUGCAAAAACAUCUGAAAUUGAUGGAGAGAACCCAGCUCUUUUAAGUGAGGCUGGGACUUCUGACUGUGUUGCUGAAAGGACAUGUAUCAACCCAGAUUCAGCAGAGCCUUCACCAAGCACUAAAUCUGUUGGAAGCAUUCAGAAUUAUCGAGAUUGUUAUGCAGUUGUUUGCGGAAUGCUCUUCAAUCAUUGCAUGGAAGUCAUGUGGAAUGCAGUCUUCUAUGAUUCAGUGGCAGAAUAUUCAUCUGCUUGGAGGAGAAGGAAAGUUUGGACUGGCUCUUCGUUGUUUGGGAUACCUCCUAAUAGAUGUGGUGAGAGGGUGGAGAAGAUUCCAAACUUAAAUCAUGAAACUUUUUGCCAUGAUGAUGAUGAUAAUGAUGAUCGCCCCCCUGGUUUUGAACUGUUGGGAGCUGAGUUAGGGUGUCAACCUCAGCCGUCAUUGAUAUCUUCAUCAGUUCUAAUGAUGGAAAAGCCAACGAUACAGAUAGGUCCCUCAUAUGAAGACAUGAAAUACAUUGUAAAGCACAUUGAAAAUGAACUCCAAUUGUCUGCAAAGAGUUCCUUGUCUGAGUAUGUUGGAUCCUUUGUUGAUGAGGAAGUGAGUAAACUGGCUAAUUUGUCCACAGAAGAGAAAUCGGUAAAGGACAAUGUUGACUGUUCUAUGAGGAGCAUAGGUUCAUCUGACCUGUGCAACAAAUUGAGGACUUCAGAUGGCACAUCUGCAGAUAUAAUUCUGUCUGAUAUUACUCUAACUCCACAAAUGGAAAAACCUUUCCAUGUUUCUCUCCCUGAGAAUCAUAUGUCUAAUUUUCUGGCAAUUGCUUUUAAGGAAGUCUGUUCACAUGUUGAUGAUUCUGAUGUGGACCAAGAAGUAAUUGAACCAUUACCCCCUGGACUCACAGCGAAUGUUAAAAUAUUUGGACAAUCAAAACCUAUUUGCAAAUUUCAACCUUCAAGGUCAGAAGAAUGUACUCCUAAGAUUGGAGCCUAUGUUGCUACAGCAAUGUUGCGGAAGAAACUCCAUGAUGAUAUUAAUAGAGAAUUGAAAUCAUCAUUCAUUGAUUUGGCUCUUAAUAAGUUUCUUGGAUCAUGGCGAACUUCAAGGAAGAACCAUGUCCGUCAUAAGGAUAAAGCAUGCAACACAAUUAAUAAAGAAGAAUUAAAGCAUCGUCACAGUUCUCUCACUGCGGAAGUAUCUCCAGUGAUGGAUGAAUUUACAUAUCAGCGCAAGCGGUUGCUGCGGAAAAAGUCGAGUUCUUCUGGUCAUGUAACUCUAGUUAAUAAUGGGUUGAAGAGUGAAACACUGGGGAAGUUAAAGAAGCUACAUGUUGGUAUAGAUGUGCCGAAGAAUGCUACUGUGAUUCCUAAAAAACAAGGUCUGAGCAAAUCCCAAAUUGAAUCAUCUGUUGAUGCCAUAUCUAUAAAAGUCAAUGCUAAAAGGGUUUUAUCAACUGAUAAGUCAGCAACUAAGAGUGCCAGUAGCCGGAAGCCAUUGAAGGGUUCUCAUGAACAAAGUUGUGAGUCCAUUGACAAUGUUGUUGAUGGCGUCAGCUCAAUCAAGGGAUAUCAAACUGAAUUAUCUGUUGGUGCCGUUCCCUUGCAAGCCAUCAAUAAGAGAUGUCCGUCCGCUGAUACACUGGCAGCUAAUAAUGCUAGUAGUCGAAAACGAUUGAAGGUUUCUCAGGCAGUUAAAGGUGUUGAACCCAUGGAUAAACCUAGUAAAAGGAUGGUCUUAGCUCAUGUUCGGGAUCACAAUGAUAUUGAGAAAGUUCUUAAUAGCCAUGGCCGUGAUGGUCAGCUUAAAGAAGAUCCUUUAUCUAAGGUGCCGAAGCUGAAAAGAGAGCGUCCAGUUGGCGGCUCACAAUUGCCACAUCCCAAAAGGGUCUUGAAAGUAGCCAAUGAUGUUCUCAAGCAAGCAGCAAACAUCCCAGUGGCAGUAAGAAAGGCCCGGUCCAGUAAGUCAAAGACAUCAAAUCCUUGCCCUAAAUCUGAUGGAUGUGCCCGUGCUUCGAUUAAUGGCUGGGAAUGGCAUCGAUGGUCACUAAACGCAAGUCCUGUUGAAAGAGCUCGUGUUAGGGGAAUCAAAUAUGUUAAUGCCCAGCAUACAACUUCUGAAACUAAUACAUCACAGUUGUCAAAUGGCAAGGGUCUUUCUGCAAGAACAAAUAGGGUGAAAAUGCGCAGUCUUCUUGCUGCUGCGGACGGUGCUGACCUUUUGAAAACCACUCAAUUAAAGGCAAGGAAAAAGCUUCUACGUUUUCAGCGGAGCAAGAUACAUGAUUGGGGUCUUAUUGCCUUGGAGCCAAUCGAGGCAGAAGAUUUUGUUAUUGAAUAUGUUGGAGAAUUGAUACGUCCCCAGAUAUCUGAUAUACGCGAGCGUCACUAUGAGAAGAUGGGAAUUGGCAGUAGCUAUUUGUUUAGAAUUGAUGAUGGUUAUGUGGUCGAUGCUACAAAACGUGGAGGAAUUGCUAGAUUUAUAAACCAUUCUUGUGAGCCUAACUGUUACACCAAGGUCAUAAGUGUUGAGGGUGAGAAAAAGAUUUUCAUUUAUGCAAAAAGACAUAUAGCUGCUGGUGAAGAAAUAACGUACAAUUAUAAGUUUCCAUUGGAGGAUAAAAAGAUUCCAUGCAAUUGUGGUUCAAAAAGGUGCCGCGGAUCAUUAAAUUAGGAAUUUGAGUCCUCUACACGAGUAAUGCCAUUUUGAAGUUGCAUAUUGCUGUUGGGGCGGCAGUAUAUUUGGAGAGCUACUUUGAAUUGCUUGGAGGAGCUGGAGUUCUGUUCUUUCAAGACAGAGAGCAGCCUGCCCUUCACAUGCUGUUUGAAUAUUUUGGACUCUGUAAAUAACAAUGGAUGAGUCACCUCAGAGUGCUUCAGUUGCAUUCAGUAUCAAUUGUUACAAAUCAGUGUUGACAUAAAAGACUGGAUAAUGUGGCCACCGAGACUCUAUGACACAGAAUUUUGCCUAAUUUUCAAAGAUAUAGCGACUGACCCAUGACCCAUGUGCAUUCUUGUAGAAUUUCUCUGUUGCAGAUGAGUUUCUCCUCUUUAGAAACUGUAAAUCAAUUGAUUUCCUGCACAUAACAAAUUUUGGAAUCUCAAAUUCUUGUAUAAACAUGCACUACUUUUUUUUUUUUU
Argentina anserina (silverweed cinquefoil) is the source of this 4289-nucleotide RNA transcript. It is a transcript of the gene named histone-lysine N-methyltransferase ATXR7, with no coding region annotated. The record is from RefSeq and is a predicted model, not a curated record. Lineage: Eukaryota; Viridiplantae; Streptophyta; Magnoliopsida; Rosales; Rosaceae. The transcript is spliced from 19 exons.